CAACCUCAACUCAUAUGGGACUACCCCCUGAAUUUAAGCAUAUUAAUUAGGGGAGGAAAAGAAACUAACAAGGAUUUUCUUAGUAGCGGCGAGCGAAAAGAAAACAGUUCAGCACUAAGUCACUUUGUCUAUAUGGCAAAUGUGAGAUGCAGUGUAUGGAGCGUCAAUAUUCUAGUAUGAGAAAUUAAUGAUUUAAGUCCUUCUUAAAUGAGGCCAUUUACCCAUAGAGGGUGCCAGGCCCGUAUAACGUUAAUGAUUGCUAGAUGAUGUUUCCAAAGAGUCGUGUUGCUUGAUAGUGCAGCACUAAGUGGGUGGUAAACUCCAUCUAAAACUAAAUAUAACCAUGAGACCGAUAGUAAACAGUACCGUGAGGGAAAGUUGAAAAGACUCUGAUAGAGAGUUAAACAGUACGUGAAACUGCUUAGAGGUUAAGCCCGAUGAACCUGAAUAUCCGUUAUGGAAAAUUCAUCAUUAAAAUUGUAAUAUUUAAAUAAUAUUAUUAAGAAUAAUGUGCAUUUUUUCCAUAUAAGGACAUUGUAAUCUAUUAGCAUAUCCCAAAUUUAUCAUAAAAUAUAACUUAUAGUUUAUUCCAAUUAAAUUGCUUGCAUUUUAACACAGAAUAAAUGUUAUUAAUUUGAUAAAGUGCUGAUAGAUUUAUAUUAUUACAGAGCGUUAAUUUUUCGGAAUUAUAUAAUGGCAUAAUUAUCAUUGAUUUUUGUGUUUAUUAUAUGCUCUUGUAUGAUUAACAAUGCGAAAGAUUCAGGAUACCUUCGGGACCCGUCUUGAAACACGGACCCAAGGAGUCUAACAUAUGUGCAAGUCAUUGGGAUGUACACCUACUAGCGUAAUUAACUUGACUAAUAAUGGGAUUAGUUUCUUCAGCUAUUUAUAGCUAAUUCACACAGUCCCGGCGCGUUCUAUAUAGUUAUGUAUAAUGUAUAUAUAUAUUAUUUAUGCCUCUAACUGGCACGUACCCUGAGCAUAUAUGCUGUGACACGAAAGAUGGUGACCUAUACGUCCAUCAGGUUGAAGUCAGGGGAAACCCGUGAUCGAUAGACCGAAACAGUCUCACGUGCGAAUCCCAUUGUCAGAAGUGCCCACAGGGGCGUACACAACUAUCGGACCAUCCAGCAGCAUGGCUCCUUUCUGAGGUUUCCCCUCAGCAUGACUGGUGCCUUCUCAU
This 1183-nucleotide non-coding RNA is filed under the name Drosophila sechellia. Its description in RNAcentral is "Eukaryotic large subunit ribosomal RNA". It matches the Rfam family "Eukaryotic large subunit ribosomal RNA", at positions 1 to 996 of the family's 3401-position model. Lineage: Eukaryota; Metazoa; Arthropoda; Insecta; Diptera; Drosophilidae. The record is from Rfam by way of RNAcentral.